UACGAACCGUCCCAACGUUAUUCGGAAUUACUGGGCUUAAAGGGUUCGUAGGCGGCCUUGUAAGUGGGGUGUGAAAGCCCUCGGCUCAACCGAGGAAUAGCGCUCCAAACUGCAAGGCUUGAGGGAGACAGGGGUAAGCGGAACUGAUGGUGGAGCGGUGAAAUGCGUUGAUAUCAUCAGGAACACCGGUGGCGAAAGCGGCUUACUGGGUCUCUUCUGACGCUGAGGAACGAAAGCUAGGGUAGCGAACGGG
Molecule: ribosomal RNA, 253 nt
Filed under: uncultured bacterium
Lineage: Bacteria
Description: partial 16S ribosomal RNA
Rfam family: Bacterial small subunit ribosomal RNA
Source: RNAcentral